UUAAGUUAAUAAGGGCGCACGGUGGAUGCCUUGGCACUAGAAGCCGAUGAAGGACGUGACUAACGACGAAAUGCUUUGGGGAGUUGUAAGUAAACAUUGAUCCAGAGAUGUCCGAAUGGGGGAACCCGGCAUGUAAUGCAUGUCACUCAUUACUGUUAAGGUAAUGAAGAGGAAGACGCAGUGAACUGAAACAUCUAAGUAGCUGCAGGAAGAGAAAGCAAAUGCGAUUGCCUUAGUAGCGGCGAGCGAAAUGGCAAGAGGGCAAACCGAUGUGUUUACACAUCGGGGUUGUAGGACUGCGACGUGGGACGACAAGAUUAUAGAAGAAUUACCUGGGAAGGUAAGCCAAAGAGAGUAACAGCCUCGUAUUCGAAAUAGUCUUUAACCCUAGCAGUAUCCUGAGUACGGCGAGACACGAGAAAUCUCGUCGGAAUCUGGGAGGACCAUCUCCUAACCCUAAAUACUCUCUAGUGACCGAUAGUGAACCAGUACCGUGAGGGAAAGGUGAAAAGCACCCCGGGAGGGGAGUGAAAUAGAACCUGAAACCGUGUGCCUACAACAAGUUCGAGCCCGUUAAUGGGUGAGAGCGUGCCUUUUGUAGAAUGAACCGGCGAGUUACGAUAUGAUGCGAGGUUAAGUUGAAGAGACGGAGCCGUAGGGAAACCGAGUCUUAAUAGGGCGCAUUAGUAUCAUGUCGUAGACCCGAAACCAUGUGACCUACCCAUGAGCAGGGUGAAGGUGAGGUAAAACUCACUGGAGGCCCGAACCAGGGCACGUUGAAAAGUGCUUGGAUGACUUGUGGGUAGCGGAGAAAUUCCAAACGAACUUGGAGAUAGCUGGUUCUCUCCGAAAUAGCUUUAGGGCUAGCGUCGAUGUUAAGUCUCUUGGAGGUAGAGCACUGUUUGAUUGAGGGGUCCAUCCCGGAUUACCAAUAUCAGAUAAACUCCGAAUGCCAAUGAGAUAUAAUCGGCAGUCAGACUGCGAGUGCUAAGAUCCGUAGUCGAAAGGGAAACAGCCCAGACCACCAGCUAAGGUCCCAAAAUAUAUGUUAAGUGGAAAAGGAUGUGGGGUUGCACAGACAACUAGGAUGUUGGCUUAGAAGCAGCCACCAUUUAAAGAGUGCGUAAUAGCUCACUAGUCGAGUGACCCUGCGCCGAAAAUGUACCGGGGCUAAACAUAUUACCGAAGCUGUGGAGUACACCUUUAGGUGUAUUGGUAGGAGAGCGUUCUAAGGGCGUCGAAGGCAGAUCGUGAGGACUGCUGGAGCGCUUAGAAGUGAGAAUGCCGGUAUGAGUAGCGAAAGACAGGUGAGAAUCCUGUCCACCGAAUGACUAAGGUUUCCUGGGGAAGGCUCGUCCGCCCAGGGUUAGUCGGGACCUAAGCCGAGGCCGAUAGGCGUAGGCGAUGGAUAACAGGUUGAUAUUCCUGUACCCGUUGUUUUUGUUUGAGCAAUGGAGGGACGCAGGAGGCUAAGGAAUGCAGACGAUCGGAAAUGUCUGUCCAAGCAGUAAGUCUGAAGAGGAGUCAAAUGCUUCUUUUCUUAAGGACAAGCUGUGAUGGGGAGGGAAAUAAUAGUACCGAAGUUCCUGAUGUCACACUGCCGAGAAAAGCUUCUAGUGAGAAAACAGCGGCCCGUACCGCAAACCGACACAGGUAGUCGAGGAGAGAAUCCUAAGGUGAGCGAGAGAACUCUCGUUAAGGAACUCGGCAAAAUGACCCCGUAACUUCGGGAGAAGGGGUGCUGAUCAUACGAUCAGCCGCAGUGAAUAGGCCCAAGCGACUGUUUAUCAAAAACACAGGUCUCUGCAAAAUCGUAAGAUGAAGUAUAGGGGCUGACGCCUGCCCGGUGCUGGAAGGUUAAGAGGAGUGCUUAGCGCAAGCGAAGGUACGAAUUGAAGCCCCAGUAAACGGCGGCCGUAACUAUAACGGUCCUAAGGUAGCGAAAUUCCUUGUCGGGUAAGUUCCGACCCGC
RNAcentral lists this ribosomal RNA (1972 nucleotides) under human gut metagenome. RNAcentral describes it as "bacterial LSU rRNA". It matches the Rfam family "Bacterial large subunit ribosomal RNA", at positions 3 to 1991 of the family's 2925-position model. The record is from RNAcentral.